AAUAAACCAAAUGACAUGACUGAAAUAAAAUGAAAUAAGUGUAUAUUUAUAUUAUAAGUGGGAAACAUAUUGACGCUCUAUGUUCUCUGUUUCUUGCAGCCUGAUUUUGACUCUGACUUUGACAUUCUGGACUGACGGCACCGGGCGGGCGGGUGCUCUACAUACAGACCAGAAAUAAGAGAAUGUGUUUGAAGUUUUUUUUUUCUGGAGAAGCAGCAGCAUCCUCAUCGGUGUCGCGGGCUGCACCACCUUUGCUCCUUGUGCGACGGUGAAACAGAGCUCCAUUUUGGGGAUUAGGGUCGACUGGUGGUUCAUUGGGUGGCUCUGGACCUUGAGCCAGAUCUGGAGCUGCAUGAUAAAGAUUUUCUUUCUCUGGAGAAGCAGCAGCGCCCUCGCUUGACUUUGUGCGAUGGCGAAUACCAACUGGAGUCCCAGUCAGUGAAGCAGUUUCAUCAGGUGCAUCAGCUGCUGAGAGGUUAGAAAGAGAAAGAGAGACAUGAACUGAUAUUAUUAGUAUUAUUAGU
RNAcentral lists this long non-coding RNA (524 nucleotides) under Sparus aurata (gilthead seabream). RNAcentral describes it as "lncRNA (ENSSAUG00010022308.1)". The record is from RNAcentral. Lineage: Eukaryota; Metazoa; Chordata; Actinopteri; Spariformes; Sparidae.